RNAcentral lists this ribosomal RNA (465 nucleotides) under Vreelandella stevensii. RNAcentral's name for it is "partial 16S ribosomal RNA". It matches the Rfam family "Bacterial small subunit ribosomal RNA", at positions 338 to 795 of the family's 1533-position model. Lineage: Bacteria; Pseudomonadati; Pseudomonadota; Gammaproteobacteria; Oceanospirillales; Halomonadaceae. The record is from RNAcentral.
CCUACGGGCGGCAGCAGUGGGGAAUAUUGGACAAUGGGGGCAACCCUGAUCCAGCCAUGCCGCGUGUGUGAAGAAGGCCCUCGGGUUGUAAAGCACUUUCAGUGAGGAAGAACGCCUGGUGGUUAAUACCCAUCAGGAAAGACAUCACUCACAGAAGAAGCACCGGCUAACUCCGUGCCAGCAGCCGCGGUAAUACGGAGGGUGCGAGCGUUAAUCGGAAUUACUGGGCGUAAAGCGCGCGUAGGUGGCUUGAUAAGCCGGUUGUGAAAGCCCCGGGCUCAACCUGGGAACGGCAUCCGGAACUGUCAAGCUAGAGUGCAGGAGAGGAAGGUAGAAUUCCCGGUGUAGCGGUGAAAUGCGUAGAGAUCGGGAGGAAUACCAGUGGCGAAGGCGGCCUUCUGGACUGACUCUGACACUGAGGUGCGAAAGCGUGGGUAGCAAACAGGAUUAGAUACCCGAGUAGUC